UCAGGAUGAACGCUGGCGGCGUGCUUAACACAUGCAAGUCGAACGGAGCUUAGAAGGAAGCUUGCUUUCAUUUAAGCUUAGUGGCGGGUGGGUGAGUAACGCGUGAGUAACCUGCCCUUGAGAGGGGAAUAACAUCGAGAAAUCGGUGCUAAUACCGCAUAAUGUCGGAGUACCGCAUGACAUUCCGACCAAAGAUUUUAUCGCUCAAGGAUGGACUCGCGUCCGAUUAGCUGGUUGGUGAGGUAACGGCCCACCAAGGCUUCGAUCGGUAGCCGAACUGAGAGGUUGAUCGGCCACAUUGGGACUGAGACACGGCCCAGACUCCUACGGGAGGCAGCAGUGGGGAAUAUUGGGCAAUGGGCGCAAGCCUCGACCCAGCAACGCCGCGUGAAGGAUGAAGGUCUUCGGAUUGUAAACUUCUUUGAUUGGGGAAGAAUAAAUGACCUACCCAAAGAACAAGCCACGGCUAACUACGUGCCAGCAGCCGC
Molecule: ribosomal RNA, 488 nt
Filed under: uncultured bacterium
Lineage: Bacteria
Description: bacterial SSU rRNA
Rfam family: Bacterial small subunit ribosomal RNA
Source: RNAcentral